AUGGAAGGAUUAUUGCACUGGGAUUUUGCUCCUGGCCUUGCUUUGGCCGAUCAGGUGAGAAGGAAGUUCGGAUCAACAGUCCAUUUUUCUCCCUCUCGAGACACCAAGGAGUUCUUUUUGGUUGUUUCAUUCUCUUCGGCCUCCUUCCCCCUCACGGUGGAUUCUGUUGGAAUUGCUUUGCAAUGUUGCAUUGGA
RNAcentral lists this ribosomal RNA (195 nucleotides) under Triticum aestivum (bread wheat). RNAcentral describes it as "partial small subunit ribosomal RNA". The record is from RNAcentral. Lineage: Eukaryota; Viridiplantae; Streptophyta; Magnoliopsida; Poales; Poaceae.